AGCAGCCGCGGUAAUUCCAGCUCCAAUAGCGUAUAUUAAAGUUGUUGCAGUUAAAAAGCUCGUAGUUGAAUUUCGAGACCGGUUUACUGGUCGUGCUUUUGUACGUACUGGUAUUAUUGGUUUCUCCUUUCUGACGAAUCAUAAUGCCAUUAAUUUGGUGUUUUGGGGAAUCAGGACUGUUACUUUGAAAAAUUAGAGUGUUUAAAGCAGGCUCACGCUUGAAUACAUUAGCAUGGAAUAACGAAAUAGGACGUUUGAUUUUAUUUUGUUGGUUUCUAGGAUCGACGUAAUGAUUAAUAGGGAUAGUUGGGGGCAUUAGUAUUCAAUUGUCAGAGGUGAAAUUCUUGGAUUUAUUGAAGACUAACUACUGCGAAAGCAUUUGCCAAGGAUGUUUUCAUUAAUCAAGAACGAAAGUUAGGGGAUCGAAGACGAUCAGAUACCGUCGUAGUCUUAACCAUAAACUAUGCCGACUAGGGAUCGGAUGAUGUUAAUUUUUAAUGUACUCA
This 506-nucleotide ribosomal RNA is filed under the name uncultured Glomus. RNAcentral describes it as "SSU rRNA". It matches the Rfam family "Eukaryotic small subunit ribosomal RNA", at positions 569 to 1078 of the family's 1831-position model. The record is from RNAcentral. Lineage: Eukaryota; Fungi; Glomeromycota; Glomeromycetes; Glomerales; Glomeraceae.